Molecule: long non-coding RNA, 566 nt
Filed under: Penaeus japonicus
Lineage: Eukaryota; Metazoa; Arthropoda; Malacostraca; Decapoda; Penaeidae
Description: uncharacterized LOC122252753
Source: RNAcentral
CCUAGUAACAGGGCCUUCGCAGUUCUCUCGCGUCUUUUGGCAACGCCGUUCGCUCUUCCCUUCCGCAGUACUCAGGAUGUCUGAUGAACAACCCGCCGCCGCUCCUGAGGCCGAGGCCCCCCCUCCCUGCCCCGAAACACAAGCCGCCCUUAGCUUGUGUGUAAAGGAGAACGGAGAGACGAACUGCGCGGCGUUAUUGGAGGCGCACCAGGAAUGUCUGAAGAAACUCGGUCUUUAGGCGUGAGAGAGACCUGUCACCCAGCAAAUCACCUUAGACCAUAGCAAUGCGUUCAACAGCGCAGCGAAAAAGAAUCAGAUAAAACAAUAAGACUAUCAGGCAGCGAUGAUUCUCCCUCAACACUCUGUAAUUAAUUAGUAAUCGUCUUUUAGUCACCAAAUGCGUGUUCUAAAAUGAGAAAAAUAAAACGCUUAUUUCUCUUCUUAGAGAUGCAUUUCCGACCACUGUUAAAGACCAGGUAAUUCAGUGUUGUGAUGUCUUGUGUAUAGCUAGGUUAGCGGUAUGUUUUUAUGAACACAGUCGCUUGUGAAUAAAUAUGAAACCGUAA